ACGUAGGGGGCUAGCGUUAUCCGGAUUUACUGGGCGUAAAGGGUGCGUAGGCGGUCUUUCAAGUCAGGAGUUAAAGGCUACGGCUCAACCGUAGUAAGCUCCUGAUACUGUCUGACUUGAGUGCAGGAGAGGAAAGCGGAAUUCCCAGUGUAGCGGUGAAAUGCGUAGAUAUUGGGAGGAACACCAGUAGCGAAGGCGGCUUUCUGGACUGUAACUGACGCUGAGGCACGAAAGCGUGGGGAGCAAACAGGAUUAGAUACCCUGGUAGUCCACGCCGUAAACGAUGAGUACUAGCUGUCGGAGGUUACCCCCUUCGGUGGCGCAGCUAACGCAUUAAGUACUCCGCCUGGGAAGUACGCUCGCAAGAGUG
Molecule: ribosomal RNA, 370 nt
Filed under: uncultured bacterium
Lineage: Bacteria
Description: bacterial SSU rRNA
Rfam family: Bacterial small subunit ribosomal RNA
Source: RNAcentral